AUGGAAUUCAACAGGGAAUAUAUCCAUUAUACAGUUUUUUUUUACCAAAAACAGGCACAAAAUAUGCAGUUUUUGUGCAAUUAAUGCUUCUCGCGCUCAUCAGAUUUGAAGACAGUUUCAAUAUUCAAAGCUAUAAUAGUUUCUACGAUUAUUGGGGGAAAU
Caenorhabditis elegans is the source of this 162-nucleotide non-coding RNA. NCBI's taxonomy places the organism in Eukaryota, Metazoa, Nematoda, Chromadorea, Rhabditida, Rhabditidae. The record is from Ensembl.